RNAcentral lists this ribosomal RNA (467 nucleotides) under uncultured bacterium. Its description in RNAcentral is "partial 16S ribosomal RNA". It matches the Rfam family "Bacterial small subunit ribosomal RNA", at positions 28 to 506 of the family's 1533-position model. The record is from RNAcentral.
GACGAACGCUGGCGGCGUGCUUAACACAUGCAAGUCGAACGGAAAGGCCCUGCUUUUGUGGGGUGCUCGAGUGGCGAACGGGUGAGUAACACGUGAGUAACCUGCCCUUGACUUUGGGAUAACUUCAGGAAACUGGGGCUAAUACCGGAUAGGAGCUCCUGCUGCAUGGUGGGGGUUGGAAAGUUUCGGCGGUUGGGGAUGGACUCGCGGCUUAUCAGCUUGUUGGUGGGGUAGUGGCUUACCAAGGCUUUGACGGGUAGCCGGCCUGAGAGGGUGACCGGCCACAUUGGAACUGGGAUACGGCCCAGCUUCCUACGGGAGGCAGCAGUGGGGAAUAUUGCACAAUGGGCGGAAGCCUGAUGCAGCAACGCCGCGUGCGGGAUGACGGCCUUCGGGUUGUAAACCGCUUUCGCCUGUGACGAGGCGUGAGUGACGGUAGUGGGUAAAGAAGCACCGGCUAACUACGU